This 227-nucleotide long non-coding RNA is filed under the name Elaeis guineensis (African oil palm). RNAcentral describes it as "long non-coding RNA (EGUI_LNC062795)". Lineage: Eukaryota; Viridiplantae; Streptophyta; Magnoliopsida; Arecales; Arecaceae. The record is from RNAcentral.
CCACAGCUCAUUUAGAAUGUUGUUUGACUGAAGGAUUGAAUUAUAUGGUAACUUGUCACUAAAGGAUAUUUUAAUAAUUUUUUAUCAAAAUUUUAAAUCUUCAGGUAGUCAUGACAUAUUACUAGAUAUCAAUCUUGACUUAUGAACUCAUCAAAAUUAAAAGAGUUUAAUUCAAAAAUUAAUUAGGAAGAGUCCUAAUUGAUUGGGACUCUUUGACUAACCUAAUC